Molecule: non-coding RNA, 106 nt
Organism: Colletotrichum phormii
Lineage: Eukaryota; Fungi; Ascomycota; Sordariomycetes; Glomerellales; Glomerellaceae
Source: the annotation of a RefSeq genome assembly
GGUCUGGUGGUGUAGUUGGUUAUCACGUCAGUCUAACAGCUCGAGAGCCUCACUUCUCUCGUCACUGCCACACUGAAGGUCUCCGGUUCAAGUCCGGGCUAGAUCA